Paramisgurnus dabryanus is the source of this 2376-nucleotide long non-coding RNA. RefSeq lists it as uncharacterized. The record is from RefSeq and is a predicted model, not a curated record. NCBI's taxonomy places the organism in Eukaryota, Metazoa, Chordata, Actinopteri, Cypriniformes, Cobitidae.
AGCAGCUACACUCAAAAAAUGGGUUUUGUAGCACUGUUCAUUAUACACAAAUAUAUUUAGUUACAUUAACACAUACACAUUUAUUUUUAAGACAAAAUACAAGUGUAAUGUGUUAUGCUAAAUCAAUUUGUUAUUCACUCUGGUUUACCUAAAUACCUAUCUUUAAACUAAAGUAAUUGGUUUACUUUGCGAUAGAGAGUAGACCUAUUAUCAGGUUCAUAUUCCGGAACAGAGGGGGCGGUAAUGCUCCAUUAAGCUGGUUACCAACCGCCGGUAAAAAAGAAAGAAGAAGAAGAAGAAGAAUUUUUUUCAAACUAAAGGAUGUGACGUCAUUUUAACGACUUCCACGAAGACGGCGCGCAGGUGACGGUGUGGUAAGUAAACUAAAUACGUUUAUUCUUCAAUCCAUCUUAAAACAUUGUUGAGGCAACUUUAUUUUAUGUUUAAGGCGAUGGUGUUUGUUUUUGAUGGUGAUGAUUUCACGUCAUUUGUGCAGCAGUGAGUCAUACCACAAUGACUUCUCCAGUCUGGCUAAAAGUUACAAAAGGUGAUCCUUCAGUAUGCCAUUCCUACUUCAGUGAGUGACCUGUCAAAGGAAAUAGAAAAACAAUGUAAUCUACAAGGACAUUUAAGGCUGCAGUUCAUGGAUUCUGACUUGGGCAAUUAGUUUUUAAAUCUCAUGUACACAUCUGAAAUUCAAGACAAAAGUACACUAAAGGUGGUAUUCCUGACAACACCAAGUGAUUGUGACAACUUGCCCCCACCACAACUGAACAGUUCUCAAAAGGAGUACCUGCUCAUCACCAGCUCUUUCAUUUUCAUCCUGUGACACAGUCAUUUUGUCAACCCAAUCUACAUCAUUAAGCUCUGACUGUGUUGCAAAAGUGUGUCUUGCCAAAUAUAUAACCAAACUGAGAAAAAUUGGCUGUAAUGAAGUGAAAUUAAAUUUACUCAAGCCCAAACCAGCUGGAAUUUCCAGUGCUGUUUACCAUAUAUAUAUAAAAAAAACAUGCAAUGCUGAGGUGAACUACUGCCCUCACCAUCCACAAACGGAGACAUUCAAAACACUGGAAGUAGUCAGUUUAAUACUUCUGUCUGAAAUUAAAAAGAACAAUAAGAAAACAUUAUGAAUGCUGAUGGACAAGACCUUUUCUAUCAGGAGACAUGAGGUUGUCAAGGAAUCGCCUUCAAUAGCAGAUUUCAAAACUAGAUGGCCUGCUCUUUUCAGAAGGGAAGAGAUUUGUGCACAGUUUAAAAGAAUCACAACAGCCACAUUGGUGUCUACAUACUUGGCGAAGAUGAAUCCAUAUUCUGCAAAGCUUAUAAGGAUCUAUGCAAAACGAGGAGUCGUCAAUGGACAGAGAAUUAAAAACCUGCUGGUCUCCACAACACGGACUGACAACAUUGAUCAGACUCGGAUCUUUCUUUGUCUACCUGAAUGAAGACCCGACCAGUCUAAUUAAAGAGUAUUUGGAAACAGAUGCACCCAGUACCCAGGAGGCGAUCCAGAAGAUGGUAAUGGGAGUGCUUGUUGUAAAAAUGUAUGGUUCAGACAUCGAAGACAGCCCAGCAGAUGUUGGAGUGUUAUUAAAGGGAUUAAGAGUUCUCGGACCUCAACAACAUUGUGUAUGCAACAACCAUGCUGAUGGGACUGAAAUAUGAACUGAACUUGAGCUACUUUCCCAAAUUCAGGUACACUUUUGAAGUAUUGCAGUUGUUGUUUCUGGAGCUAGAUGGGAAGUAACUAUCUCAUAAAGUUCAGACGCUGAAGACCAAGCCUUUUGCAGAUGUUUUGAGAAAGGAAUGUUUUAAUAUUUCAUAUGUAAAUGCCAUGUUUUUGAAAUGGCAGUACAAUAACAUUCAGGAAGUAAGCAGUGUCGUCAAUUUAUUUUGAUAGUUUUGCAGUGUGUUUCUAUUUAAUUAGAUUAAUGUAGAGUUGUUUAAAGCUUUGGCUGUACGUAAAUGGUCCUGCAUCUAAUUUGUCAUGGAAUGUUAACGUUUAUAAUGUUUUUACAGUACCAUUUAACUUAAAAUUAUACCAAAGUUGUUGAAAAAUCUUUGGAAGUCGCAUGUGCCAGCUCUCUGAAUGGAGAGCAACCUAUUUUGUCAGUUAGCAUUACAGUUGUGUAAUAAUGUUGUUUAAUUAUACGUAUCCGGGGGCUUGAAAAAACUGCCUGAAUGGUGCUUCGUGCAUUUCAUUUGUCAGUAAGUGUAAAAAAUUGUAAUGUUAUAAGGUUACAUUGUAAUAUCCAAAGUCCUUGAAAAACUUUGCAAGUUUUUCAAGUUGAUGAGUGCAUCUCAUUUGUCGGUAUAUCCUUUACGGUAUCUGUAGUUUAAGUGCAAUAAACAUGGCUUGAAGAACUGGUGUCUGAGAAU